Molecule: ribosomal RNA, 406 nt
Filed under: uncultured bacterium
Lineage: Bacteria
Description: partial 16S ribosomal RNA
Rfam family: Bacterial small subunit ribosomal RNA
Source: RNAcentral
AUUGAACGCUGGCGGCAGGCCUAACACAUGCAAGUCGAGCGAGCGGCGGACGGGUGAGUCCUGUCUGGGAACCUGCCAGAUGGAGGGGGAUAACUACUGGCAACGGUAGUUCCUACCGCAUCCAAUCAGAUGUGCCCCGAUGGGAUUGGCUAGUAGGUGGGGUAACGGCUCACCUAGGCGACGAUCCCUAGCUGGUCUGGGAGGAUGAUCAGCCACACUGGAACUGAGACAAGGUCCAGACUCCUACGGGAGGCAGCAGUGGGGAAUAUUGCACAAGGGGCGCAAGCCUGAUGCAGCCAUGCCGCGUGUGUGAAGAAGGCCUUCGGGUUGUAAAGCACUUUCAGCUGGGAGGCGUUACCCGCAGAAGAAGCACCGGCUAACUCCGUGCCAGCCGCCGCGGUAAUAC